Molecule: long non-coding RNA, 527 nt
Organism: Nicotiana tabacum (common tobacco)
Lineage: Eukaryota; Viridiplantae; Streptophyta; Magnoliopsida; Solanales; Solanaceae
Source: RefSeq, a predicted model, not a curated record
UUUGUUAGAAAACCCUAGUCUCCACCCUCUUCUUCUUCAUUCCCUCCAAUCUACAUACACUUCUCACACCUACUCUCUCGUUCGCACCUCACGCACACACACUCAAUCACAUACACGCGCCUGAACUAACAAGAGAAGAAGCUUGCACUUCAAAAUUUAAGAUCUAGAAAAUUUCAAAAGAAGAGAGAAAAAAUCAAAAUAAAUAAAUAAAUUAAAAGGCUAUUGAAAUUUCUGCAACAUGGCUUGAUCGUUUCUGGGUUUCGAAGGUUGUUUGAGUUGUAAAUGUGUUGUUCGUUUGCUGAUUCUGUUGCUCUUCUCUGCUGAAGCCCAUUCCGACUAAUUUCUGGCCUUUAUUUGGUACUUCGUACUGUUCCCUUACUUCCAAUAAGUCAGAUUUAAUCAUAGGAAAGAAAGAUUGCUCAUGCUAGGCGUAAAGGAAGAAGUUCAAAAGAUUCAGGUUGCUAAAAUUCUCAAGCGACAAGUCCAGAUCCUGGUGCUGCAGCUUUUGGACCACAGUGAGAUUACUG